UUUUUCCUACGGGAGGCAGCAGUGAGGAAUAUUGGUCAAUGGGCGAGAGCCUGAACCAGCCACGUCGCGUGAAGGAUGACGGCCCUACGGGUUGUAAACUUCUUUUGUCAGGGAGCUAUUGGGUCCACGUGUGGGCUUAGCGAGAGUACCUGAAGAAAAAGCAUCGGCUAACUCCGUGCCAGCAGCCGCGGUAAUACGGAGGAUGCGAGCGUUAUCCGGAUUUAUUGGGUUUAAAGGGAGCGUAGAUGGGUUGUUAAGUCAGUUGUGAAAGUUUGCGGCU
RNAcentral lists this ribosomal RNA (280 nucleotides) under uncultured bacterium. RNAcentral describes it as "partial 16S ribosomal RNA". It matches the Rfam family "Bacterial small subunit ribosomal RNA", at positions 333 to 609 of the family's 1533-position model. The record is from RNAcentral.